RNAcentral lists this ribosomal RNA (231 nucleotides) under uncultured bacterium. RNAcentral describes it as "partial 16S ribosomal RNA". It matches the Rfam family "Bacterial small subunit ribosomal RNA", at positions 118 to 347 of the family's 1533-position model. The record is from RNAcentral.
UGAGGAACAUGACCUUCGGCGGGGGAUAGCCGGCCCAACGGCCGGGUAAUACCGCGUACGACCACAUGGGGACAUCCCUGAGUGGUGAAAGCAGCAAUGCGCCGAUGGAGUGCCUCGCGGCCUAUCAGCUAGUUGGUGAGGUAACGGCUCACCAAGGCGACGACGGGUAGCUGGUCUGAGAGGAUGGCCAGCCACAUUGGGACUGAGACACGGCCCAGACCUNUACGGGGA